GAUGAACGCUGGCGGCGUGCCUAAUACAUGCAAGUCGAGCGAACGGACGAGAAGCUUGCUUCUCUGAUGUUAGCGGCGGACGGGUGAGUAACACGUGGAUAACCUACCUAUAAGACUGGGAUAACUUCGGGAAACCGGAGCUAAUACCGGAUGAUAUUUUGAACCGCAUGGUUCAAAAGUGAAGGACGGUCUUGCUGUCACUUAUAGAUGGAUCCGCGCUGCAUUAGCUAGUUGGUAAGGUAACGGCUUACCAAGGCAACGAUGCAUAGCCGACCUGAGAGGGUGAUCGGCCACACUGGAACUGAGACACGGUCCAGACUCCUACGGGAGGCAGCAGUAGGGAAUCUUCCGCAAAGGGCGAAAGCCUGACGGAGCAACGCCGCGUGAGUGAUGAAGGUCUUCGGAUCGUAAAACUCUGUUAUUAGGGAAGAACAUAUGUGUAAGUAACUGUGCACAUCUUGACGGUACCUAAUCAGAAAGCCACGGCUAACUACGUG
RNAcentral lists this ribosomal RNA (497 nucleotides) under uncultured bacterium. RNAcentral describes it as "partial 16S ribosomal RNA". It matches the Rfam family "Bacterial small subunit ribosomal RNA", at positions 28 to 507 of the family's 1533-position model. The record is from RNAcentral.